RNAcentral lists this ribosomal RNA (381 nucleotides) under uncultured archaeon. RNAcentral describes it as "bacterial SSU rRNA". It matches the Rfam family "Archaeal small subunit ribosomal RNA", at positions 471 to 851 of the family's 1478-position model. The record is from RNAcentral.
UAACACGUAAUCCACUAGUGGUGUCCACUUAUAUUGGGCCUAAAACGUCCGUAGCCUGUCCAAUAAGUUCUUGGUGAAAUCAACCAGCUUAACUGAUUGAAUUGCCAAGAAUACUAUUAGACUCGAAGCCGGGAGAGGUUAAGGGAAUUUUUGGGGUAGCGGUGAAAUGCUAUGAUCCCAGAAAGACCGCCUGUAGCGAAGGCGCUUAACCAGAACGGGCUUGACGGUGAGGGACGAAAGCUAGGGGAGCGACCCGGAUUAGAUACCCGGUUAGUCCUAGCCGUAAACGAUGUGGACUAGGUGUCCUAGCAUCUAAGAGAUGUGGGGGUGCCGAAGGGAAGCCAUUAAGUCCACUGCCUGGGAAGUACGCUCGCAAGGGUG